CACGUAGGAGGCGAGCGUUGUUCGGAAUCACUGGGCGUAAAGCGCACGUAGGCGGCUUCUUAAGUCAGGGGUGAAAUCCUGGAGCUCAACUCCAGAACUGCCUUUGAUACUGAGGAGCUUGAGUCCGGGAGAGGUGAGUGGAACUGCGAGUGUAGAGGUGAAAUUCGUAGAUAUUCGCAAGAACACCAGUGGCGAAGGCGGCUCACUGGCCCGGUACUGACGCUGAGGUGCGAAAGCGUGGGGAGCAAACAGG
Molecule: ribosomal RNA, 253 nt
Filed under: uncultured bacterium
Lineage: Bacteria
Description: partial 16S ribosomal RNA
Rfam family: Bacterial small subunit ribosomal RNA
Source: RNAcentral